UAGGAUCCAGAUCGACUUAAGGUCGCCGGGACCCGUAGCAAGCCUACUAUGCAUCCUGUAUACUUGAUAAAAUCUCAUACAUGAUCAUACAUUUACAUGAAAACUUUAAUCAUUCCACGAACCAAACCUGACCUGUGCAUGCAUCAUAACUGUAUACAUAAAAUCCACACUAGAGUCCUCAUCAAAUACUCUAGCAUGGUAAACAUCACAUGCCUCAAGUUUAGUUCCAUCAUAACUCAU
RNAcentral lists this long non-coding RNA (240 nucleotides) under Manihot esculenta (cassava). Its description in RNAcentral is "long non-coding RNA (MESC_LNC008601)". The record is from RNAcentral. Lineage: Eukaryota; Viridiplantae; Streptophyta; Magnoliopsida; Malpighiales; Euphorbiaceae.